Long non-coding RNA from Mangifera indica (mango), 715 nucleotides. RefSeq lists it as uncharacterized. NCBI's taxonomy places the organism in Eukaryota, Viridiplantae, Streptophyta, Magnoliopsida, Sapindales, Anacardiaceae. The transcript has 4 exons. The record is from RefSeq and is a predicted model, not a curated record.
GAACUAAACACACACACACAUCUAUAUAUAUAACCAGAGAAAACAAAUGUUUUUAUUUUUAAAUUGGUCUGAAAAACACAGGCUUUGAAUUGACUUCACACACCAAAGCCUGCAUUUCUUCUCCACUCAAUCACCCUUUGCUCCGAAUCCUAGCAAACUAUCUCACCCUUUUCAGUUAAUCAUUCAAGGUCCCAUACAAAUUCAAGGCUUAACCUGCACAAUGUGACCCAUAAGCUUGAAGCCACUGUACAAUGCAGAAAAAGGUGAUUACUUGUUCCUUCAUCUGUUCUUCAUGUCAGACACUGAGAGACAAAGCUGUCGGUCCGAUGUACCAGAAACAGUGGCAGUUCUUAAGUGUGGUAUUACUGAUUGAACAGGCACACAUUUUCUAUUGCUGAUAGCUUAGCCAGUGUCUUCUUGUGAAUUGGAAUGAUUAUUCUGCCCUUGUGAUGAAAUUGUAGCAGCAAGCUUAGUUUUAUUCCUGACAUAAAAAGAAGUACAAGGAUUGUGCAGGUGCUGAAGAUUUUUAGCAGAGCUUCAAGAAUCUACUGAUCAUAAAACCAGGCAAGUGGUAUGUUAUUAUUUAAUUAAUCUGAAAGUAUUGAUUUUGAAACAAAAAUACAAUGAAGUAGCAAAUAAUCAAGAAUGGAAUAAAUAUAUCAUUAUAUAAAUUGAAUGUUAACUCAUUCAUUAGUGAUAGUUGAUAUUCAUUCAA